RNAcentral lists this unclassified non-coding RNA (679 nucleotides) under Hevea brasiliensis (rubber tree). The record is from RNAcentral. Lineage: Eukaryota; Viridiplantae; Streptophyta; Magnoliopsida; Malpighiales; Euphorbiaceae.
UGUGAUCUUUCUUGAAAUAGUUCCAAUCUCAAAUCGAUCAUCAACUUCAAGGAUUGGAAUCCAAGUUAAGCCUUUAAACCAUGUCUUCAAAACAGGUGAACAAUUAGCUGUUAACUCAAUGGCAAAGGAGAUGACAUUAUCCAUGGAGAUAUUGAGCGGGAUAAAACGUGCAACGUAGCUAAAGAAUCAGGACAAAUUAUCCAAUAACGCAAAAGAAUGGAGAAAAAAAAUGUAAUCACCAGCUUGUCAACAAAAAAUGCAGUAAAUGAGUCAAUAAUAGAAGAAUAUAAAGGCCAAAUCUAUGCAUUGCAACAUUCCAUUUUAGUGCUUUGAGAUCAUCAACAAGAAGAAGCAACAAACAAGUUGCCAAGACACAAGAUCAACCACUACAUAGCAAAUUUGCAGUGAAAUAUUUCCAAUGACAGACACGUGCUACAGAGCUAUCGUGACAAUUACGCGUAAAGAUGUUAUAUAACCACCAAAUGGAAGGAGCUAAGUCACAGAGUAUUUAAGAACCAGCGGGAAAGAAAGAAGAACUUCCAGCAUUUAACAUUCAACAGGGAAAGAGGAAACAACAGAUAGAAAGGUACUAUACCUUUUUCUUCUCAACUGAAGGAAAAAGAUCCAGUAGGGUUUUGUUAUUGAGUUGAAUUGUAUAACCUGCUUCCCUUGGUGUAAG